Molecule: unclassified non-coding RNA, 291 nt
Filed under: Hevea brasiliensis (rubber tree)
Lineage: Eukaryota; Viridiplantae; Streptophyta; Magnoliopsida; Malpighiales; Euphorbiaceae
Source: RNAcentral
AGACUUGUUAUUAGUCAAGCAUACUAACAAUUAUUUAGACUUGGGUAUAAGGCUUGCCAACAUUCUAAGGGUGAUUAUAUUUGAUAUGUAAUAAAGUAGUAUACUUUGUUAAGAUUGUGAAUGUAAGGCUUGAAAGAAGCAAAUUUCAAUUAAUCUCCAUCUGGAUGGACCAAGUUUAGCAAGUUCUUAAGGAUGAUUUUAAAUUGAAUGUAAUCGAGUCUUGUACUUUGAAAUAGCAUUUCAUGCUUACAUGAACAAGUGUUUAGACUAUGUCCAAUAGAAAACUAAAGA